CCUACGGGUGGCUGCAGUGAGGGAUAUUGCACAAUGGGGGAAACCCUGAUGCAGCGACGCCGCGUGGGCGAUGACGGUCUUCGGAUUGUAAAGCCCUUUUCUAGGUGACGAGCAAGGACGGUAGCCUAGGAAGAAGUCUCGGCUAACUACGUGCCAGCAGCCGCGGUAAAACGUAGGAGGCAAGCGUUAUCCGGAGUUACUGGGCGUAAAGGGCGUGUAGGCGGUUGGAUAAGUGGAUGGUGAAAGGUCUCGGCUCAACCGAGAAAACGCCGUUC
This 275-nucleotide ribosomal RNA is filed under the name uncultured bacterium. RNAcentral describes it as "partial 16S ribosomal RNA". It matches the Rfam family "Bacterial small subunit ribosomal RNA", at positions 338 to 629 of the family's 1533-position model. The record is from RNAcentral.